This is a long non-coding RNA of Orcinus orca (killer whale), 3565 nucleotides long. RefSeq lists it as uncharacterized. The record is from RefSeq and is a predicted model, not a curated record. The transcript is spliced from 5 exons. NCBI's taxonomy places the organism in Eukaryota, Metazoa, Chordata, Mammalia, Artiodactyla, Delphinidae.
CUGUAGAGCCUGCAAGCCACAACUACUGAAGCCUGCACGCCUAGAGCCUGUGCUCCGCAACAAGAGAAGCCACCGCAAUGAGAAGCCCGCACACUGCAAUGAAGAGUAGCCCCCCUGUGCCGCAACUAGAGAAAGCCCACGCGCAGCAACGAAGACUCAAUGCAGCCAAAAAUAAAUGAAUAAAAAAAAUAAAUUUAUAUUAAAAAAAACCAACUCUUCAUCUACCUCUAGGUCCAUAGUUGUGCAUUUUACAUUUACUUUAUGGUUAAUUUUGAGUUAAUUUUUGUAUAAAUGAGGUUUGGGUUUAAGUUUUUUUUUUUUUUUGCUUAUGGAUGUCCAAUCACUUCAUCACCAUUUGUUUGAAAAGACUAUCCAUCCUCUAUUGAAUUUAUUUUGUUUCUCUGUCAAAAUCAUAUUUUUUGGAGUUAUUCCUGGGUUCCACAUUCUGUUCCAUUGAUCUCUGUGUCUAACUCUCCGUCAAUACCAGGUACUGUGUCAGGAGCUCUACAUUCAUUACUUACAAGUCUUACACCAGCUACAGGAUUUUUGCUCCAACUUUACAGAAGAGGAAGUGAAACUCUGGUACAUAAGUGACUCCAAGCCAAAGCUGGAGCUGUGAUUGAAAAGCAGGUGUCUUGGUGCUGGAGACACAAAGAUGAGAAAGACAGGACAUCUGGCUUCAAGACAUCCAGGAUCUGGCCAGUGAAGAACAGAAGCCUCCGAAGGGUGGUCCUUGUCAUCCUUCUCCUCUCCCUGCUCCCUCCCCCACGGCGGCCUUGGCUGUGGCUCACCAGUGCCUGAGAACAACCUCCAGCGGGCCUGACGUAGAGUCCCCGGCUGGGUGAGAACCUUGCAUCCUUGCGCCUCUGGGAAAGAUCAGACUUGCUUUAUGAGGAUUUGCUUCAUGAGACCUCGAGGUGCAAAGCAAUGGCAGCCCUGUCCCGUCCACAAACGCAAGGAAAGUGACACUUUCCCCAGAAAAACGUCCCCAGAGACAAUUCUCUGAGCGGACUCAGGUUAUCAGGAAGCCGGCCAUUUCUUCUGGAUACGUGUCCUCUCAUGCAUCAGACGCAGCCCUGGGGGACGGUGUUGAGGGGGGCUUCUCGGAGAGCAGAAGCAGGCUGUCAUGCUGGCUGACCAAGAGGUUCCCUCCCCAUGUCCAGGGGGCAGGACAGGUGCCUGGGGCUUUGUUUUCCUUCUCUUCUGCAGGAGGAUCGAUGAAGGCCGUGUCCUGUUCUGACACCACCCAUCAGAAGCCUGCAGGUCCACAGGGAGCCUGGGGCAGCCUGAGGGAGAGACGGCACUUCAUAUGGAGAUGGGGGCUGGGCUGAUUCAGGAGUGGGGGAGAUGGCGGCUGGGGGUGCUCCUGGGGCCACUCUUUCUGUGGCUUAGACACCCUGGGGAGGCCUGGGGGAGCCUGUGUCUGUGCCUCCUGCUCCCUCAUCUCUCCAGGCCCCGGUUUCCUCGUGAAAGACCCUUGGCCAGUUCUUUCCGUGUAGCUGAGCACAGCUGGCACCUCUCUGGAACUGAGUCUCAGGCUCCAGAGCCGAUGGUCCUUGGGGUGACGCAGGUGUCGGUGGACAACUGGACUCUUGGGCAUUUGAUCAGCAAGACCCAGCUCUCUGAAUUCGCGUCCCCCUGCAAGGCCAGGACAGAGCUCACGGCCUUGAAGUUCCACACAUGGCUCCUGGUCACGUAGGGGCCUUUUGAGAUAUUCUUGGGUCAAGAACCAACAAUGUCAAAGAUGACACCCCUCGUCUGGUCCCCGGGCCCUGGGGUGCAGGGUCUGAGCUAAGAGUUUGGAUGCCCCCAGAGACUCUUCCUCUUCUCCAACAGUGAGGGGCCUUUGCAGGUGUGGCCCAGGCCUCCAGGGGCCAUGCUCGAGGCUACAGCAGGAGCAGCAAAGGAACGGGGCGAGUGGUUCAGCAAGGCUGCCUGCAGACCACGCGGGGAGGCAAGUUGGCUCUGCACGCCCAGGCCGAGUGUGUCUUUUAGUGGCAAACUGCAAGCCUAGAAGGUGGCUGAAGAGGAAGGAGGCUGAUUGCAAAGACAAUGCAGGGAAUUUGCAUUUUUUAGGCACUUUCUGGUUUCUACAAGCCUUCUUGCUACCAUGAGUUCAUCUGAUUCUUAUAAUGUCCAGUAACAGGUGGUGGACCUGAGCUUCCUGGAGAGCUGAUGAGGGAGGCUUUCCCCGAGCAUCAUCAUGAAUUCCUGGACCGAAGCAACUUCAUCAUGUUUCUACUCUUUCCAGUGGUGGUCCUCACUGUCCCUCUCGUCCUGUAGGAGCCUCGUCCAUCAGCCCAGAAGCCCUUCUGACACUACCCUCGUGGUCUUUGAAGAUGCCUUGUUUCUUCCAGGACAAGAUGUGAUACGAUCUUUGUGCAUACUUCCUGCCCCAGAUCUGGCCAUGCUCUUAGACACCGGAGUUUGGGGGCGAACAGGACCUGCUUGCAGCAGGGGAUGGUGGCAGGGGCUUGCCUGGAACAGAAGAUGAGUGGUCAUUGCUGGUGAAAUAAAGAGGAGAGUCCAGAUGGAACUGCCUGGAAACAUCACAUCCUCUCCCUGAUUCAGAGCUGGCUCACUGAACCCCCACCCAUCACCUCACCCCCUUCUUCCUCCACUGCACUCAUUUCUCAGGCUGCUCUGAAGCCGGGAAACUGCAAGUAUAGAGCUCAGCCUUAGUAAGAUGCCAGCACGUGUCGAGGGAAGGUGUUCUUCCCAACUGAAAUGACAAAGUUUCAAGAAGAGAGGCAUUUGGUCCAGCCUGGAAUAUGGAUGUGAUGCCUGGAGCUGCAGCACCUAUUCUAUGACCAUAAGGCUGAAACCACACAAUAAGGAUGGUGGAGCAGGGAGAGGCUGGAGCCUGAGUACCUGAGAAUGCCUAGAGCUGAUGCACCAGCCCUGGACCACCUACCUCAGGACUCCCUGUUAGAGAAGCAGCUGCAGCAGCCAUUUUCUCCUUUGAGCCCCUUGCAUCCCAAUGCUAUUCUGAACUAUCUUCUUUUGGGGGCUAAUAUCAUGGCCUUCUGUGGUUGCUUCCAUUUUCUUGGCAUCAUAAAGGCUGAGAAGAGAGACUGAGUCUGUUCCCUGAGCAGGUUCCUGACGUCUUCUCAGCUUCUCCCCACCAUCCUCAACCACUGGGUAACAAUGGCAGAAUUGCUAGGAUCUGGUAUUUGCAGAAAGCCCCCGACAGCCUCUACCGUCGGGCUGGAAGGUAGGACAGUGCCCCACAGGAACCCUGGGGUAGGCUUCCUCUGGUGAUGGCUCCCCGGACAAUGUCUGCUCUGUUCCUCCUGCCCAUGGCAGGUCCUUUCAGGGAGAUGCUGGGCACUAAUGGUGGCCAGGAAGGGAGCCAGUCAAGGCCUUUAGGUUUAUCUUAGAAGCAACAUUUAAGGAUCAGGGGACAGGCCUGGCUUUGGGACAGGCAAUGUCAUUCCCAGGGGUGACUGAGGACUUCAGUGUGUGGAAGUGACCAUAGUGGUCACUUCAUAAUUAAGUGGUGAUGUCCUUACAUGUGUCAAAUGAAAAGAGACCAAAUGGGAGAGUGGGCGGAAAGGAAGAGGAA